This 253-nucleotide ribosomal RNA is filed under the name uncultured bacterium. Its description in RNAcentral is "partial 16S ribosomal RNA". It matches the Rfam family "Bacterial small subunit ribosomal RNA", at positions 524 to 776 of the family's 1533-position model. The record is from RNAcentral.
UACGUAGGGUGCGAGCGUUAAUCGGAAUUACUGGGCGUAAAGCGUGCGCAGGCGGUUCGUUAAGGUCGUUGUGAAAGCCCCGGGCUCAAACUGGGAAUGGCAAUGGAAACUGGCGAGCUUGAGUGUGGCAGAGGGGGGUGGAAUUCCGCGUGUAGCAGUGAAAUGCGUAGAGAUGCGGAGGAACACCGAUGGCGAAGGCAGCCCCCUGGGCCAACACUGACGCUCAGGCACGAAAGCGUGGGGAGCAAACAGG